GACGAACGCUGGCGGCGUGCUUAACACAUGCAAGUCGAACGGAAAGGCCCUGCUUUUGUGGGGUGCUCGAGUGGCGAACGGGUGAGUAACACGUGAGUAACCUGCCCUUGACUUUGGGAUAACUUCAGGAAACUGGGGCUAAUACCGGAUAGGAGCUCCUGCUGCAUGGUGGGGGUUGGAAAGUUUCGGCGGUUGGGGAUGGACUCGCGGCUUAUCAGCUUGUUGGUGGGGUAGUGGCUUACCAAGGCUUUGACGGGUAGCCGGCCUGAGAGGGUGACCGGCCACAUUGGGACUGAGAUACGGCCCAGACUCGUACGGGAGGCAGCAGGGGGGAAUAUUGCACAAUGGGCGGAAGCCUGAUGCAGCAACGCCGCGGGCGGGAUGACGGCCUUCGGGUUGUAAACCGCUUUCGCCUGUGACGAAGCGUGAGUGACGGUAAUGGGUAAAGAAGCACCGGCUAACUACGUG
RNAcentral lists this ribosomal RNA (468 nucleotides) under uncultured bacterium. RNAcentral describes it as "partial 16S ribosomal RNA". It matches the Rfam family "Bacterial small subunit ribosomal RNA", at positions 28 to 507 of the family's 1533-position model. The record is from RNAcentral.